This 88-nucleotide transfer RNA is filed under the name Verrucomicrobiota bacterium. RNAcentral describes it as "Verrucomicrobia bacterium tRNA-Ser". It matches the Rfam family "tRNA". Rfam says of the family: Transfer RNA (tRNA) molecules are approximately 80 nucleotides in length. Their secondary structure includes four short double-helical elements and three loops (D, anti-codon, and T loops). The record is from RNAcentral. Lineage: Bacteria; Pseudomonadati; Verrucomicrobiota.
GGAUGGGUGACAGAGUGGUUGAUUGUGCACGCCUGGAAAGCGUGUGUGCCGAAAGGCACCGGGGGUUCGAAUCCCCCCCCAUCCGCCG